Non-coding RNA from Eptesicus fuscus (big brown bat), 138 nucleotides. RefSeq annotates it as small Cajal body-specific RNA 21. NCBI's taxonomy places the organism in Eukaryota, Metazoa, Chordata, Mammalia, Chiroptera, Vespertilionidae. The transcript has a single exon. The record is from RefSeq and is a predicted model, not a curated record.
UAGUGUGUUUGCUAAAUAAGGAAAUAAGAGGUAGAAGAUUCCCUCAGACGAGCUGAGAGUAGAGAGGCUGGGCUUCCUUCCCCAUGGGAGAGGUGGUUAAGAAAGGAGCCUCACCUAGACUGUCCUUGCCUCACACUU